Molecule: unclassified non-coding RNA, 351 nt
Filed under: Leptomeria acida
Lineage: Eukaryota; Viridiplantae; Streptophyta; Magnoliopsida; Santalales; Amphorogynaceae
Description: partial miscellaneous RNA
Source: RNAcentral
GCUGUUGAAGUUCCGUCCACAAAUGGAUAAUAUUUCCGUCUUAUAUUAGUGUAUACGAUUUAUUGAAAGUAUAAUCAAGGAGAAAUAACCAAUUGAUUCUAUCAAGAAGUGAAUUCUCCUUGAUUAUACUAAGGUCAGUAUUCUGUACAUUAUAUUAAUAUAUUAAUAAUUCAUAYAUAAUGAAAUUUUAUAAUUAAUAUUAUAAUUAUGAAAUCUAUCUUCAUAUUUUAUGGUAUAAAUUCAGUCUUUUUUGAUUUGUAAAUAAAAAAAUAUGUAAAUAUUUAUAACUUUAUAAAAAGGAUUCAUUAURSGGCGGAUGUAGCCYSAGUGGAUCRAGGCGGUGGAUUGUGA